AAUACACAACCUUGAACACUACGACAGAGUGCUGUGUUACGUGUUCCGUAUAUCUAAUGGAGUAGUGAACUUUUGGAUCGGGGCCAGGAGAGGGAGCCAUGGAUUUUAUUGGGUUGAUGGAAGUGGACGCAUGACGUUCAGCAGAUGGGCGAGAUGGCAACCAGACAACUCGUUUUUCAGGGAGCACUGUGUCGAGAUGAAUUACAGGAGUUGGGGACGUUGGAACGAUGAAUACUGCUAUAUCAGGAGAGUCUUUAUGUGUGCCAAAAACAUGUGAUCAUCAUCAGUAAUGUUUGAUUCACAAGAUGAUCUUUUAAAAUGUGCUGCAGCUGGACUUGUUUCAUGAUAACC
Long non-coding RNA from Scatophagus argus, 351 nucleotides. RefSeq lists it as uncharacterized. The transcript is spliced from 3 exons. Lineage: Eukaryota; Metazoa; Chordata; Actinopteri; Scatophagidae. The record is from RefSeq and is a predicted model, not a curated record.